GACUCCAUAGCUAAGUGGUUAUAGCAUGAGAUUGCAGUAGUCGCGCUGAAGUGAUUGUGUAACAAUCUCGGGGUCGCGUGUUCGAGUCACGCUGGGGUCU
This 100-nucleotide transfer RNA is filed under the name Armillaria gallica. It matches the Rfam family "tRNA". From Rfam's summary of the family: Transfer RNA (tRNA) molecules are approximately 80 nucleotides in length. Their secondary structure includes four short double-helical elements and three loops (D, anti-codon, and T loops). Further hydrogen bonds mediate the characteristic L-shaped molecular structure. tRNAs have two regions of fundamental functional importance: the anti-codon, which is responsible for specific mRNA codon recognition, and the 3' end, to which the tRNAs corresponding amino acid is attached (by aminoacyl-tRNA synthetases). tRNAs cope with the degeneracy of the genetic code in two manners: having more than one tRNA (with a specific anti-codon) for a particular amino acid; and 'wobble' base-pairing, i.e. permitting non-standard base-pairing at the 3rd anti-codon position. The record is from Rfam by way of RNAcentral. Lineage: Eukaryota; Fungi; Basidiomycota; Agaricomycetes; Agaricales; Physalacriaceae.